GUGACGAUUCGUGUACCAGAGAGACACAGGGAGAGCAAGAGAUCCAAUUGCAGGUAUUUAUUCAGGUAAGGGAAAUCCAAAAUCGUAGUCGAAUGCAGCCAAGGUCAAAACCAAAAAGACAGUCCAAACAAAACAAACAAAUGAAAGGGACAGGAAAAGGGAACUCGGAAUGCGAGAUGACUCAGAGGACGAGCAGACAGGAAGAAACUCGGGGACGAGAAAGCUGGACACACGAAGGGUAAGGACUCCAUACAGACAACAGGAAAAGACAGGAAUAUAUAGGGAGGCUAAUGACAAUAGAUUGCCUGCACCUGGUGCAAUUAACAGGAGUGCAAUUACUGUGAAGACAGGACCAGACUAGAGGAAUUCUAGUGCCUACGGUGAAGUGUCUAAGGGGAAGUGAGCCCACUAGUGGACACCCAGGGAAACAGAGACUAGACAGCGUGACAUUACCCCCUCCUCCACGGAGCAGCUGCCAGAUGCUCCACCCGAACCCAAGGGAAAAACCAAAGACACAAAGAGACCAGGAGGGAGGUGGAGCGGCGGAGGACCAGGGGGAGGGACGGAGGGCCAGAUAAAAAUGGUAAAACAGAGACAAGAGGACCAGGUAGAAUGGGGAAACCGAGACAAGAGAAGUGCAACACAAAACAAGGAGUCCAGGAGGGUGGUGGACCGGCAGAUGAUCAGGGGGAGGGACGGAGGACCAGGUCCAUAGGAGGAAACCGAAAGAAAGACAGACCAAAAAAAACAACAAAAAAUACUCAAAAACACAAGUCCAAGAAGGACAUCACGUGACGCCCACCAGGGCGGCGCAGAAGACAACCAUAACCGUGUGGUCGGGACGGACGCCCCCCAGGGCGGAGCAGAAGACCACCACAACCAUGUGGUCAGGGCGGAAGCCCCCCAGGGCGGAGCAGAAGACCACCAUGUCCGUGUGGUCGAGAUCGGAGUCCCCCAGGGCGGAGCAGAAGACCACCACAACCGUGCGGCCGGACCAACAGGAGGACAAGUCUGGUUGGGCAAGUCUGAAACACAGAACAUGAACAUGUUAAGGGUAGCCUCCGUGGCCUCCACAGGAACAGUCGGGUGCCCAGAGAGAUCUACUGAGACAUGACGAGUCUCUGGAAGUUCCGCAAAGGCGAGGAGAGACUCUGGUAGUUCAGCAGAGACGUGGAAUGGUUCUGGUAGUUCAUCCGAGACCUGGAGAGGCUGUGGUAGUUCCACAGAGGAGUGACGAGACUCUGGUAAUCCCAUGGUGUUUAUACUGGAUUCCAGAAGAUCGAUGCUGACUUGACUCUGCUCCUGAAGAUCAUUGGUGACUUGCACUUGUUCAUGAAGAUCAUUGGUGACUUGCACUUGUUCAUGAAGAUCAGUGGUGACUUGCCUUUGUUCAUGAAGAUCACCGGUGACUUGCCCUUGUUCAUGAAGAUCACCGGUGACUUGACUCGGUC
Cyprinus carpio carpio is the source of this 1451-nucleotide long non-coding RNA. NCBI's taxonomy places the organism in Eukaryota, Metazoa, Chordata, Actinopteri, Cypriniformes, Cyprinidae. The record is from Ensembl.